GGGUAGCCUCUUCCCUGGGACUUUCAUAGU
RNAcentral lists this non-coding RNA (30 nucleotides) under Homo sapiens (human). Lineage: Eukaryota; Metazoa; Chordata; Mammalia; Primates; Hominidae. The record is from RNAcentral.